Molecule: small RNA, 127 nt
Filed under: Marmota monax (woodchuck)
Lineage: Eukaryota; Metazoa; Chordata; Mammalia; Rodentia; Sciuridae
Source: RNAcentral
GCCAGGUGCGGUGGCGCAUGUCUGUAAUCUCAACACCUUGGGAGGCUGAGGCAGGAGGAUUGCAAGUUCAAAGUUGGCCUCAGCAACUUAACACGGCCCUAAGCAACUCAGCGAGAUCCUGUCUCUA